UUUGGUUGCCCCAAUUGAUGUUGUUGUUCCUCCUGGCAACACAGGGCUCGAUCCCUCCCAGACCUCUUUCUUCCAGGUUGGUAAUCUUCUGUUUGUAGAAUUUGGGGGUGGUUGAUUUGUUUUGGUUUUUAAAAACUAUUAAUAUUUUAAAUAUUACGUUGAGUAGAAGUGGGGAAAGAAAAAACAUUAGUAACGGAACCAAAACAAAUUUACAGAUUUUUUAUAAGAGUUCUGUUUUUAAAAUCAAGGAAAAACAGGUCAAGAUUAUUUUGUUUUCAUGUCAUGUUUAUGCUUAGUUUCUGUAUUUCAGGUGCUCAACAUUCCUACCAAGAUUAACAAGGGUACUGUUGAAAUCAUUACCCCUGUGGAGCUCAUUAAGAAGGGAGACAAGGUUGGAUCUUCUGAAGCUGCAUUGCUUGCCAAGCUAGGGAUAAGGCCCUUCUCGUAUGGGCUUGUGGUUCUUUCUGUUUAUGAUAAUGGUUCAGUGUUCAGCCCUGAGGUUCUUGAUCUUACUGAGGAUGACCUUAUUGAGAAGUUU
RNAcentral lists this long non-coding RNA (538 nucleotides) under Glycine max (soybean). RNAcentral describes it as "long non-coding RNA (GMAX_LNC003123)". The record is from RNAcentral. Lineage: Eukaryota; Viridiplantae; Streptophyta; Magnoliopsida; Fabales; Fabaceae.